This 65-nucleotide transfer RNA is filed under the name Micromus paganus. RNAcentral's name for it is "tRNA-Ala". It matches the Rfam family "tRNA". From Rfam's summary of the family: Transfer RNA (tRNA) molecules are approximately 80 nucleotides in length. Their secondary structure includes four short double-helical elements and three loops (D, anti-codon, and T loops). Further hydrogen bonds mediate the characteristic L-shaped molecular structure. tRNAs have two regions of fundamental functional importance: the anti-codon, which is responsible for specific mRNA codon recognition, and the 3' end, to which the tRNAs corresponding amino acid is attached (by aminoacyl-tRNA synthetases). tRNAs cope with the degeneracy of the genetic code in two manners: having more than one tRNA (with a specific anti-codon) for a particular amino acid; and 'wobble' base-pairing, i.e. permitting non-standard base-pairing at the 3rd anti-codon position. Lineage: Eukaryota; Metazoa; Arthropoda; Insecta; Neuroptera; Hemerobiidae. The record is from RNAcentral.
AGGGUAAUAGUUAAAUUAACAUUUGAUUUGCAUUCAAAAGAUAUUGAUAAAAUCAAUUUACCUUA